RNAcentral lists this RNase P RNA (260 nucleotides) under Archaeoglobales archaeon. RNAcentral describes it as "RNase P RNA component". It matches the Rfam family "Archaeal RNase P". From Rfam's summary of the family: Ribonuclease P (RNase P) is a ubiquitous endoribonuclease, found in archaea, bacteria and eukarya as well as chloroplasts and mitochondria. Its best characterised activity is the generation of mature 5'-ends of tRNAs by cleaving the 5'-leader elements of precursor-tRNAs. Cellular RNase Ps are ribonucleoproteins. Lineage: Archaea; Methanobacteriati; Methanobacteriota; Archaeoglobi; Archaeoglobales. The record is from RNAcentral.
GAGAGGCGGUGGGCGGCUAACCUAGGUUGGCAUAAAAGCUGACCGAGAGGAGGAAAGUCCCCCCACCAUGAAAGGCGGAGUGCCGCAAGGCACUAUGCCGAGAGGCAUGGCAACGGAGCAGAAACGAUACCCACAUGGGGUAAUGCGAUGAAGCUAUGCAGAGAUCACCCAUGUGGGAUGGAACGGCCGACCCCGCCGGUGCAAGCUCAGGCGCUCAGACUGAUGCCGCCGGAACAGAAGGGGGCUUACUACCGCCACUC